This 506-nucleotide ribosomal RNA is filed under the name uncultured bacterium. RNAcentral describes it as "partial 16S ribosomal RNA". It matches the Rfam family "Bacterial small subunit ribosomal RNA", at positions 28 to 523 of the family's 1533-position model. The record is from RNAcentral.
GAUGAACGCUAGCUACAGGCUUAACACAUGCAAGUCGAGGGGUAACGAGAGGAAAGCUUGCUUUCCUUGUCGACGACCGGCGCACGGGUGAGUAACGCGUAUCCAACCUGCCCCCAACUAAGGAAUAACCUUGCGAAAGUAAGACUAAUACCUUAUAAUUUCCUCAGAUGUCAUCUGACGAGGAAUAAAGAUUUAUUGGUUGUGGAUGGGGAUGCGUCUGAUUAGCUUGUUGGGGGGGUAACGGCCCACCAAGGCAACGAUCAGUAGGGGUUCUGAGAGGAAGGUCCCCCACAUUGGACCUGAGACACGGUCCAAACGCCUACGGGAGGCAGCAGUGAGGAAUAUUGGUCAAUGGGCGGAAGCCUGAACCAGCCAAGUAGCGUGCAGGAUGACGGCCCUAUGGGUUGUAAACUGCUUUUAUACAGGAAUAAAGUUAGCCACGUGUGGUUAUUUGUAGGUACUGUAUGAAUAAGGACCGGCUAAUUCCGUGCCAGCCGCCGCGGUAA